UGAGGAAUAUUGGUCAAUGGGCGCAAGCCUGAACCAGCCAUCCCGCGUGAAGGAAGACGGCCCUAUGGGUUGUAAACUUCUUUUGUACAUGAAGAACGUCUCUUACGUGUAAGAGAGUGACGGUAAUGUACGAAUAAGCAUCGGCUAACUCCGUGCCAGCAGCCGCGGUAAUACGGAGGAUGCAAGCGUUAUCCGGAUUUAUUGGGUUUAAAGGGUACGUAGGUGGCCAGUUAAGUCAGUGGUGAAAACCUGUCGCUCAACGAUAGGCGUGCCAUUGAAACUGAUUGGCUUGAGUACAGAUGAGGUAAGCGGAAUGUGUAGUGUAGCGGUGAAAUGCAUAGAUAUUACACAGAACUCCGAUUGCGAAGGCAGCUUACUAAACUGA
Molecule: ribosomal RNA, 385 nt
Filed under: uncultured bacterium
Lineage: Bacteria
Description: bacterial SSU rRNA
Rfam family: Bacterial small subunit ribosomal RNA
Source: RNAcentral